GGGGAGGUAGACUAACUGGCAAGUCGCCGCGAUUUGAGACCUCGGAAAUGCCGGUUCGAACCCGGUCCUCUCCA
This 74-nucleotide transfer RNA is filed under the name Flavobacteriales bacterium. Its description in RNAcentral is "tRNA-Ser". It matches the Rfam family "tRNA". From Rfam's summary of the family: Transfer RNA (tRNA) molecules are approximately 80 nucleotides in length. Lineage: Bacteria; Pseudomonadati; Bacteroidota; Flavobacteriia; Flavobacteriales. The record is from RNAcentral.